ACAAGUAUCUUGUCCGAGGGAGGAAUAGACCGUACUUUUUGGAAUAUGAAUCUGAUAGUAUGAAGAUGUCUAAUUUCAUAAUUGACAAUAACUCUGUUAUGCUUAGAGGAAGUGUUUUUCAACAAAUACUCAUUAUUUUCAUGGUAACCCAAUGUGCAUGUAUUUGGCAACAUCUUUUCCUUUAUACAUAUGAGACUGACUGCAUACAAGAGCUUCUACAGAAUAAUGAAAAGGAGCUUACACUGACCUUAACUUAUUUUUCCGCUAUUGCCAACGAAGCUCGGUCGAACUCUCUUCAAGAUACCUUUAAUCACUCUUUAUUUUAUUUUUAAACAAAUAGAUAUACAGAAAGAAGGACAAAACAUCGGUUUAAAAAAUCAAGCAUGUAAAACAUAGAAUAUUGGAGCUCUUAUAGGCAAAAUAUAUUGAAAAAUAAGUGUCGUUGUCAUGUAAGAUAACUCAAAUCGACCAUAUGAUAGGUACGGGAUAGUGUUCCAUGUAUAGGAGUUCUUGUGUGAGUGAAAUUUAAGGUUGGAAUUUUGAGAAAUAACAUGAUUAAUAAAAGUACAUAUUUUUUAUCAUUUUACAUCUAGUUAAAAUUAUCUAAUAUGAGCACAAAAUUCUAGUGAAGGAGUGAUACAAUGAUUGUGUUCUGUAUAAGUAUUUGUUGAAUUGGCAUUUUUCAAAAAUAUGUGCAGAAUUUAUAUUUGUUUCAAAUAGGAAUAAUAGUCGGCAUGAGCCAAUUUUUAUUCUGUCCAGUACGACAGUGAAAUUUAUAUAUAACAUGUCAUUACAAAGACCGUAAUUGUCAGCGUAUAUCAGGAUGUAAACCAAACAAAUUUACAUCCCUUUUUUCUUUGGUACAUUUAAAGCUUAAGUAAUCAUGUCGUCUGAAGUUCAAAAAUAUUUUAUAAAAUAUGCGCACAAAAAAAGGUGAUACGUUGAAACACGACAGAUACUGUAAAUUCUGAAAUUAUUGCGUGUUUUUUUAUUAUUGCUAAUAGAGCAAUUGGUUGGGUAUCGCAAUAAUUAGAACUGUCAUUUAGAUAUAUGAUACAUAUAUCUUAAUGUAGAUUUUCUUUUGAAAUCGCAAUAAUGAAUAUCGCUUUUUUUUUUGGUUUCAUGUAAUGAAAUGCAGGGCUCACUUCUUGCAACUGGCUAAUUCAAAGGAAUAUUAGGUUGUUGUGCCAUUUUCUUUUGUAUGAAACCGGAUAUAGGACGUUCUAUGAUUUGGUGGAAUUAAAAUGUGUUUGUAUGCAUAUUUGUUUAAUAAUAAUUUAUAGGCAACUUUUUGUGUAAGAAAUGUGAUAUUAAAUGAGAAUUUGAGUAUUCAAGCUAAAACAACCAUCCAUAUAAAAGUUUACUGACUCCAUGGAGGUUCCAAUUGGUCCUUACUUGAAUCUUAAGUUUACGCUGCGUUUCAAAGAGGGUUAUAUGAUGGUUCUCUUUAAGAAAAGACUUUGAUGUGAUU
This 1471-nucleotide long non-coding RNA is filed under the name Mytilus galloprovincialis (Mediterranean mussel). The record is from RNAcentral. Lineage: Eukaryota; Metazoa; Mollusca; Bivalvia; Mytilida; Mytilidae.